This 147-nucleotide unclassified non-coding RNA is filed under the name soil metagenome. Its description in RNAcentral is "partial internal transcribed spacer 1". The record is from RNAcentral.
UAAUAAGUGUUUUAUGGCACUUUUUAAAUCCAUACCCACCUCGUGUGCAAUGUUGGUCGAUCUUCUUUUUUUGAGGAUCGACCAAACAUCAACCUUUAUCUUUUAACUCUUUGUCUGAAAAAUAUUAUGAAUAAACAAUUCAAAAUA